This 254-nucleotide ribosomal RNA is filed under the name uncultured bacterium. Its description in RNAcentral is "partial 16S ribosomal RNA". It matches the Rfam family "Bacterial small subunit ribosomal RNA", at positions 524 to 776 of the family's 1533-position model. The record is from RNAcentral.
GACGUAGGGGGCGAGCGUUGUCCGGAGUUACUGGGCGUAAAGGGCGCGCAGGCGGUCGCGUGGGCCAUCGCGUGAAAGCCCCCGGCUCAACCGGGCGGUGGCGGGUGGGACCGCGCGGCUGGAGGGUGGUAGGGGCCAGUGGAAUUCCCGGUGUAGUGGUGAAAUGCGUAGAUACCGGGAGGAACACCCGCAGCGAAGGCGGCUGGCUGGGCCAUUCCUGACGCUGAGGCGCGAAGGCUCGGGGAGCGAACGGG